CGGAAGGGUUUCCCUGACACACUGGCUGAGGUGCCCCAGUUCCCCGAGACUGGCCGGGAUCACUUCCGGUGGGGAAAGUCCCACCUCUCCGGGGCGAGCCGGGUGGCGCUGGGGCCGCGCCCUGCCGAGCGAGGCGGCCGGGGACGCUCCCGGGUCGGGGCCGCGGCCUUGGCAUAGGGCCUCGCUGAGGAGCUCCGGCGGCCUCCCUCUCCCCGCCCGCUGCCGCCGCCGCCGUCCCACCCCGAACCCGCUGCAGCCCCUGCGCGUCUCCGCGGCCUGAGGACUCGAGCGGCUGGUUGGCCGGAGCGGGAGGGCCGGCGAUCAUCUAGCCGCCGGGAGAGCGCCAAACAUCCCUGGACUAGAAGUGACGAGGAAAAUAAAGCAGCCAAGAAAGUUUAUUCUCUUUGCUGGUAUUUCUUCCACUUGACGCUUGUCUGAGAAACGCGUGCGAACUCCCUCUAGACUUCGCUAUUGCACGGCUUUCGUCGGUGAUGGCUUUUACUUGGCCGUGCCUGACAAAUCAUUAAACACACACGGUACUUUUAUCAUCCGGCAGAUCUGCUCAACUCCACCAGCAAAUGCCAGAGUCACCCCUUUCCUCCGUAUCACAAGGCUCAAAAACAACAGGACUAGAAAUAGACUUUAUCUGACAGUAACUCAGCUUUGCCCCCCUAUUUGAUUCCAACCGCUACACAGCAGGAAAGGAUAUUUUCCUUCUCUGCAUAGUCAAGAUCGGUUCAUCACCCACUAUGACUGUGUUUUAGCUCCUAGGAAGAGAGGAAGAAAAAGUACAGGAACACUCAUUUUGGGGAGUCCAAAUGAGAAGUUUGGCUCCCCUGCUGGACACAUCAUGUGGAGAGGAGAGUCUCUGAGAUUUUAUGUACAGGAAGAGAGGGAUAGUCAUCGCAGAGACCCAGUCGAGCGUCUAGAUGACUCCAGUUGCCAUCUGACUCUAACUGCAUGAGAGACCCUGAGUAAGACCAGCAGAAGAACUUCCCAGUGGAGCCAGCUAAUCCACAGAACAUUCUGCAAGAGAGGAAUUAACGCAAACUAGAACUGAGGAGGUCUGCAAGGAAACAUAACAAGAAAUACAGCAUUUCUAAGACACUGACUGUUUUGGAUAUGGUCAAAUGUACAGUUUACCUAUAGAUGUGAAACCAUGGGGAGCUACAUCAAGACCUGCUCAAGAUGACUGGACAUUUCUCCAGGAUGUGGAGACUAGAGGACGACAGUAGUGGUUGUGGCUGCAUGUCUGACACUCCUGCGCCACUUUUCCUGAACGGUUUGAGUGCCCCUCCCCUCUGGCCCCACAAUCUCAUCCCAGUGACUCCUGAGGUCCGAAGCAUCUUCAGGAUCUACAGCAUCUCUGACGAUGUCCAUCAGGGGAAAGGAGUUGCUUAUUAUAGAGGUCUCUACCAUUGGCCAGUGCUCAGUUUGUGGUCAACACUUGCUUGAUAUUCAGCGAGGCCCUGAACAGCCACUGAGCUGAGGUGUUACUGUUAACAGAGGUGCCUCGUUUUCUUAGUAGCCCCUACCUGGACCCCUAAAUUGUGACCGUUGAGUGCCUGGAUUCAGGUGAGCUCAGGUGUUUCCUUGUAUAACAACCCAUAAACGGGUUUCUUUAACAUGAGACUUUGUAAAUAGAAAUUGAGAAGAACCCAAACACUUUGAACUACACACGUUUAUUAAAUAGUUUAACAAAGGCACAUCAAUAACCACUUACUACAUAUAUGUGUGUGUGUGUGUGUGUGUGUGUAUAAAAUUAACACAGAUAUGUUUCUUUCUUAACUGCCAAUUUCCCCAAGAAAGAAUUGUUCAACUCUUCAGGUCAUGAAGGCUAAAGGCAAAGUCUCAGUCCCGAUCUUAAUCUCCCCCCCGCUCUUCUUGAGACCUACAUUGAUCCUCAAUGAGUUAGUUGACCAUCAUCUUCUGUGGCUGUAAUACUUAGAAGCAUGCUGACGGCAGAGACUCCUCAGAUCCCUUCUGCAUUCUCUCAAGUCCUGUCGGUAAUCAACAGGCUGUCUGCGUUAACAGGUGCUGUUGCCACUGCUUGUCGCUGUUCAACCACUGACAUUCUGUGAUCUUUCACCGAUUUCUCUCUUUGUAGUUGUACAUCCAUGCAAUGCACUGAAUCAUUCAUGGGGGAAAACCUCCCUCGUUCGCAUCAGGAAAAUGUAUGGUUUUUCCUGCGUCUCUUCUGCUUUGCCCCAGAUGCCCUGCCUGCCUCUGCGCUGACCACAAGUUUCUUCUUACACAGAUUGCGUCUUAUUCUGAUUUCCACUUUGCAAGGCUAUGCUUUUGCUUCAGGCUUCUGUUUCUAAAGACAGGAACCGGACCUCCUGUUCCUGUCACAAACCUCACCAUUCCAUCCAGGUGGCUGGCCUUUCUAUCAUUACCACUCUUGGCUUUUGUUCCCCCACAUAUCCAUGGUCUUCCUGCCUAAGGGAGAAGUGUAAAUCCAGGCACUGAAAGGAAAAUCUGGGAGGGCUCGGUUAGAUGAGCAUUUCUAGGACAAGAAAGACUAAAGAAAAAAAAAAUCUCAGUAUGUGUGUCCAUCUGUUGAAUAUUAGCAAGUAUAGGCAUUAGGCGAUUACAGAAAUGUGAUCACGCGUCAGGCUUAUCGCAGGUCAUGCUCUUUACUACAGAUGCUGACCACGUGAGUGGAUUCUGGCCCGUGGAACUGUGCAAUGUUUACUAUCUUGUCACUAUUUUGGGCUAUUAUAGAACUUUCCUGACAAUAACAGAAUUACAAGAGCCUUCUUUUUUGGCCUUCUUGAGGUCGUAAAUGAUGGUACCACUUGUCCAUAGGAAUUUGAUCGCUGCCCAAAUGCUGUUUGUUUCAGUAAAAACAUACAUCCCUGUCUAGGCAAGUGGCUGUCUGCUAUUUGACCACUGGAGAGUCAUGCCUUUUUAUUUUUUAAGUAAACUCUACACCCAACGUGGGCCUCAAACUUACGACUUGAGAUCAAGAAUCGCAUGGCUCUACUGACUGAGCCAGCCAGAUGCCUGGAGUCAUGCCUUUUAAAAUACAAACACUCCCAGGGGGCAGCACACAAACACUGCCAGUCUAAAACCAUAGCCUGAGUGGUCUCUUAGAUCUCAGCUCGGAGCCACUCUCCAUAGCCUGAGGUGCCCAGCAGGGAAGUUCCGAAGGAAAAAAGCCCAGAUUUGUCCGGGUUAGCAGGCCCGACAAGUUGCUACCUGGGGCUUCUAGGGAGCCAGAAGCCACCACAGAGAGACUCUUAGAAGAAAGCUGAACAAAGAGGUUGAAAAGCAUCACGCUAACCUUUACAUCCAUAUCCGGUUUUGCCUGUGGGUCAACUUCCCUCUGGCCAAGAGAAACUCCAUUUUGAUUGUGGUUGGGGAUGCCUGCCCUGAAUGCUUAUCAUUCAGCAGCUUCGAAGAGGAAAACAUAAACUGGAUUCUGAAGGGGCCAAAGACCUUUUGUAAAUGUCCAAGUGAACUGGUAUUCAUACUGGGAUUACCAGAGACUCACAGAAACAUGUACCACACGCCCACGGGCUCAAAGUCGGCUUACCGAGAAGUGCCAUAGUGGGAGGCACACGCAGCAGAAAGAGUAAAGCAGGGCACAAGGGACAAGGGAGCUCUUAGCUCUGUAUGAUUCGGCCGACACUGGAUUUCCUCCCUGGCUCUUUGCACAGUUACAGACACGUGAAGAAUACUUUAAUCUGUCACAGCCUCUCAUCUCAGCCAAAGCCUCUUCACCUGAGUUUUCUACCAGCCCGACUACCAAACAGUGGCCAAUCCAGAGAAAUUCCCAACUAGCGUUUUUUAAGUAUUUAGAAAUCUGUCAGAAUAAAAUAUUACCAAGUUACAUUUUGCUUUCUUAAAGAAGAAAAAUCAUUAUGUGUUCAUUCCAGUGCCAUUUGUUGGAGAAAACCAAUUUUAAGUGAGAGAAAACAUUUUGAUGGAAAAAUUCAUGCAUCUCAUUGUUAUGAAACCAUUGAUGCCCAUCUUGAAAAAAAUGAAAUGAACAACACUGGUUUCCUAUGUUCCACUGAAGAUGCAAGAUAGAGAUGAAUAACCAGAAAAUACAAACUUCUAAUAACGUAUCUUAUAAAAUGCCUCAGGAUUUCUGAAGCACAAUAGAAGCCAGUAAGCAUUAUCUCAAAAUGUUUAGUUUUCUUUUACUAAAAUACAAAUGUGCCUUUCCGGUGUUAGCAACUUCACUAUCAAAGAAAUAAUAUGUCUAAUACAAUGAAUGUAUUAUCUAUAUAAUUCAUAAUACUGAAGGCAUAUCUGGAAAUAAAUUUCUUCUAUGCAUGAAAUAGAUCUUUGAACCAAAUCAUAAAUUUAAAUUUUGUAUUAGAAUUACUAAAUAUUAGGGUUGAUAUACUAGAACAGGAGUCGCUUUUAAGUAAACUCCUAAUGUGUGAAUAUGGAUUCAUAAAAAAAAGACAUAACCAAGACAUUUACACAUUUUAUUAAAAACCAAAAAUAAACAAUGCAGAAGUAGCAUACUAAAAUGACUGCAUAAUGCACACUUCUAAACACAAACAAGCAGUAGAGCACUAUAAUUUGGGGGGGAAAACAGAAAAAAAGUCAAAGCAUCUAACCUAUUGAUAGCAGUUGAGGGAAUGAACUAUUGCAUUUUGGAGGCAAAAUAUGAUGCGAACAGUUUACAUUUCUGAACUAUUGUGGUCAUUAUUUAAAUUGUUAAUUGUUGCACGUGGCUAAUAAUUUUCUUCUCCACGGGUAUCUUCUGCCCCAAACGUGUGCUUCCAUUUUCUACAUCAUACUGGAACGUUGUUAUACAAACGUUACAGAAAGCUCUUUUAAAAAGAGUACAUUUAGGAAACUCUUUACAUUUAAAAGACUGUAACUUGGGGCCGUGAUAACAAAUGGCUCAUUUGCAAAUAAUCAAGCACUAACAGUAAUAAUAAAAGGAAAUGUAUUUUGAAAAGGGCAACCCCAGAACCCAAGGGUAUGAUGGCCAGAUCAUUCUCUCAACUGCUAGACACAAAAGACACAGCAACAGAAUAAUUUGGUUUCCAUCAUGAACAAAUAGCAUCUGUAUACAGACAUAAAGCUUUGCAACCAUGCAGUUCUAUGACAGAUAAAUCUUUAGGUUGUGUGUUUGGGAGAAAAGAGCAUGGCUUAAAGUUGGGUUACUUUUAGGUCUUGUUACAGAGGUAUUUUUUUUUUAAUUAAAGUAAUACAAUGUAGAAGGUGUACAAUGUAGAAGGUGAGAAUUUUUGCAAUACUUUCAAAUAGUUGUGGCUUAUUUUAUAGUGAUAUAUUUUUUUCCUUUCGGGUAUGCUAUAAUUGAGGAUGGGUUCUAUUUAAAGAUCAAAUUUCCUGGAAUAAUCCUGCUUUGGAGUAGUAAUGGAUGGUUCUUUCCAGGCCAGGUGGAGGCUCUGGAAACUGUAUGAACUAGUCUAACUGAACCCUUUCCCGGGUUUAAUUACAAAGGUCGUCCCUUUUUGGCCUCGAGUCAUUCACAUUUUUUUAUACUUCAUUCUCUAAUUUGACUUACUGAGAUAGAGCCACUGUGUCUGAGCUCCAAAGAGCGUGACCCAACGGCUGUCAGUGUGCACAACAUGCCAUCAAUUAAUCGGUUAUCUUUUGUGAUGCUGCUAGGUUCAUUCUUACUGUUUUAUAGAUGAUUCCUCACUUAAAAUCUUACAUGUCUAUUGACCUCAUGACAAUGUAUUCUCGUGGCGUACAGAUGCACAAGGAAGUGUCAACACAAGAACACAGGGUAAGUUGGGAAAGUAUGUUGGCGAUGAGGUUGGAGUUGGGAGUCCCUAACUACAGAAGGCAUGAAUGCUUACAUUUUAUACCAGUGGAAAUGCUGGUCAGACGGUUGGGCUGUUAGUUGUACAGCUGACUCUAAAUGAUUAAGGGCUGAAGGGAGAAAAAGAGAAAUUGCCAACCAACUGGCCCUGAGCUAUUGGACAACCGUUAAGGCUUGGUUGCUUGCUGGCUUUGGCGUACCUUCCUGUCUCUGUAAAUGAGGACCAUCAACAUGGGUAAGUGAUACUAAUACCAACUCCCUUAAUCCCAGGGUGGGUAACUUCUCCAAGGCGAGGGUGACACACCCCAAGACGUAAAAGACUCCAAGUACCAAUGGUCAUCCAUCUAACCUCAUUGCCUGGAGACGACAAAAAGUGAAAUGGUGACUGGUACGUGAUAGGGGAGCUCCAAUUGUCAGGGGCGGUCUGGUUAAAACAUUCUUUUCCAGCUCCAUAUGUAAGAUUGGGACUGGUUCUCUUCUGUUAGGUCAAGCAGUGGGAGGCUGUAGCAGCACAGUGAAGCACUUUCUAAUCUGGUAAAGGGAAGUCAGAAAACAGCUUCCACUGAACAGCUGUGCCAGGGGUAUUUUGUUGUUGUUGUUAGAGGGAACGAAAUGCCCCAAGCUGGCCACACUUGAUUGUUAAAUUAAGUCUUUCAAUGGUUGCCGAUUUGGUUUUAGGAUAAGGAUUUUAAAGGGGGAAAUAGUGGUGAAUGUUAACAAUUUGAUUGUCACUGAAAUGGGUAUUAAUUGAUGUAACUGAUACCUCUCAAUAUGGAGUUUCCUAUCAAAGAUGACAUCUCUGUUGAUCAGAAUGGAACUCUCCAUCUUGUAACUUACAGGGUGUUUUACUGCUUGCAACCACUGAAAAAAGAAAACCUUUGCCAGAACCCUGCCUGGUGCGUGUGUGUGUGUGUGUGUGUGUGUGUGUGUGUGUGCGUGUUUACAAUGGAGAGUAAAUUUAAAAAGCAAACAAUCUGUGCUACUGGUCCUGCUUGGUAAAAGAAGAAGUACUGUCACUUUCAGUCAGUGCUAUUAGCUGAAGUUGACCUGUUACCCGUUACCAGUCUUUUCUUUUGGUGACCUACCUGUAGCAAACCAGAAAGCUUCCGCAACAGCAAAGCAACAUCAGGCUUUAGUUACGUCUUCUUAAGCAAAAUCCCCCUCUUCCUCAAGGCCUUAGAAAUACCUCUAUCUUACUAACUUUUCCACUAUUAUCACAGAUUUCUUAUAUUAAAAAAACAAAAACUCCAAGCAUAGUGUUCAUGGACUAUGUACAUAAGUGCAAAAAAGGUGUUUCUCACACAGUCGCACCCUAACUGAGACCAUCAGUUGGCUGCAGCAUAUGCCUCUCAAACACUGUUAAGGGGUCAUUCCACAGUAUCUUUAUGCGUGGUUUUACAAAUUGGAAUUGAUUUCAAAAUAGGCUUUCAUCAUUCUUCAAUCCUCACUUGGAUAUAUUUGUGUGAGUACACAAUUCCAGAAAAGAGAAUUUUUGCCGUGACAGCUACGCCUCCUGCACGGGGUAAUUUGGAAAACACAAUGUCAUGAAAAAAGGUCAGGUAACAGAUUAUAAAUGCAAUAAUUGUGUUUUGGAGUCUAAACACUGUGGAAUAACCCUAUCCACACAACAAAUUCUAUAAGCUAUAAAGCUGACCCUAGAAUCCAUGUGUUGUAAACUUUUUGAUCCAAAAGUCAUACAAGGACACACAUUCAGCGUUUGCGUGGCAAUUUGGGCUUCAAGGACAAUUCCGCUAGAUCUGUUCUCUGAGUUUUGAGCUGUACCUUCUACAGGCUCAUACUGCCAAAAACCAUGUAUAGUUCACAAGUAAAAUUAUUAUCAAAAAAAUGUGUCUAAAGGUAGCCAUGUUGUAGUUUUGUUGCUCAAGCAACGACUAAAUAUAAUUAGUUAAAAAUUAUUAUUUGUAUAUAAAGUUAAGUUUGUUCUUAAACUGUGAGCUGUAAAGAAUAACUAUGGACUAUAAUCUCUAUGUUGUCAUGCUUCAGUAUCAGUGUCAAACCUAUCUAGGUGGGUUGAAUACAUGUAGUAAAAUCCAACUUUCUCUAACUCUCCUUCAAAAUUAAGUUCAUGAGUUACUUAGAUACAAAAAACGUAGUAAAAUGAAAACCUUAAAAACUAAAAAAGAAAAAUGAAAACAUGGCACCAAUCGGUGACUUGGUGCUCAGAACCCAGAUCUUGUAAUUAAAUCGACAGUUUGAUGAUGCAAUCAACUAAGUUUGCAAAAAAAGUUGUGACACUCUUUUCGAUACUAUUCAUUCCGGUGCCUUUGACAGGCACUGACUGGUACAAUGAAAAAUCAGGCCACUAUCUUCCUACAUCUAUUCAACAGAAUUGGGGAAUCAGAUUUCCCUACUUCUAUUUAAACGUGUGUAGAAAUGGAGAAGAGACAAAAAGAGGACAACACUUAACGGCAAGAUCAAAGUGCUUUCACGUGUUCAAAAAACGGAUGGCGAAGGUGGAUGGAGGAGGGAGAAGAUGGCUUUUCACAUGACAACGAACUACAAAUUAGACUCUAGUCUAGACAAAUGAGAUGAAACGCAACAGCUGGUCAGAGAAUCAUGCUCCAAUUUUCAAAGUAAAUACUGUAUUUAAGUAGCAAUUUUAUGAAUCCAUUUGGUUUUAAUUUAAUCUUUAUCCCUCUUUAAAAUAUACUUAUGGUCACAUAGUGCCUUUUGAAAAAAAAAUUUUGGAUACUACUAAAACCCUCUUAACAGAUAACUUCUAGAUGAUUUUCUCUGUAUACCUGACCUGUUUUAUCCAAGUUUCAGUACUCUGGCCUAAUUUUACAAAAGGCUGAGUGAGAGAAGUGGACAAAGACAAUAAUUUUGGAUAAAUAAGAAUAGAAGCCCUUGUCAUAUACAAAGCUUAUAAAAUGUUAACUAAGAAUCACAAGUGGUUGGAAUUUAAUAUAUACAAUUCAUCCAGUAAAUUGUUGUUUAGAGUCACUGAUUAGUCUUGUGACUUGGCUUUUGAACUGCGAAUUUAUAGUCUAAUGACUUUCCUUUCUUCUUUUCUUGAAUAAACAUAAUUUGAAUAAGA
Herpailurus yagouaroundi (jaguarundi) is the source of this 8816-nucleotide long non-coding RNA. RefSeq lists it as uncharacterized. The record is from RefSeq and is a predicted model, not a curated record. Lineage: Eukaryota; Metazoa; Chordata; Mammalia; Carnivora; Felidae. The transcript is spliced from 6 exons.